This 260-nucleotide long non-coding RNA is filed under the name Lathyrus oleraceus (garden pea). Its description in RNAcentral is "Pisum sativum (pea) long non-coding RNA (PSAT_LNC025053)". The record is from RNAcentral. Lineage: Eukaryota; Viridiplantae; Streptophyta; Magnoliopsida; Fabales; Fabaceae.
ACAGAUGUUUAAUUGGAGGCGAUUUAGUGAAGCGGGGGAUUUAGUUCGUUAGUGGCGGCCAGGUUUGUUGAGAGAGGAAGGAGAUGAUGACAAUGAGAGAGAAAGUAGAGAGAUGAAGACAUUUUCUUUUUUCUUCUCUGGAUUUUCAGCAGAGAAUAUAUUUUUUCUUCGUAUCGGUGGAGUUCCUUUUUUAAUUUUAUUUUUUUCUCCUUUUCUUUAUCGCCAGCUGUCCCCUCUUGUCCGUUGGAAGAGAGAAUCUU